CAGCCGCCGCGGGAAUACAGAGGGUGCAAGCGUUAAUCGGAAUUACUGGGCGUAAAGCGCGCGUAGGUGGUUUGUUAAGUUGGAUGUGAAAGCCCCGGGCUCAACCUGGGAACUGCAUCCAAAACUGGCAAGCUAGAGUACGGUAGAGGGUGGUGGAAUUUCCUGUGUAGCGGUGAAAUGCGUAGAUAUAGGAAGGAACAUCAGUGGCGAAGGCGACCACCUGGACUGAUACUGACACUGAGGUGCGAAAGCGUGGGGAGCAAACAGGAUUAGAUACCCGUGUAGUCCCUGUCUCUUAUAC
RNAcentral lists this ribosomal RNA (301 nucleotides) under uncultured bacterium. RNAcentral's name for it is "partial 16S ribosomal RNA". It matches the Rfam family "Bacterial small subunit ribosomal RNA", at positions 509 to 807 of the family's 1533-position model. The record is from RNAcentral.